This 433-nucleotide ribosomal RNA is filed under the name uncultured bacterium. Its description in RNAcentral is "partial 16S ribosomal RNA". It matches the Rfam family "Bacterial small subunit ribosomal RNA", at positions 29 to 507 of the family's 1533-position model. The record is from RNAcentral.
AACGAACGCUGGCGGCAUGCCUAACACAUGCAAGUCGAACGAGACCUUCGGGUCUAGUGGCGCACGGGUGCGUAACGCGUGGGAACCUGCCCUUAGGUUCGGAAUAACUCCCCGAAAGGGGUGCUAAUACCGGAUAAUGUCUUCGGACCAAAGAUUUAUCGCCUUUGGAUGGGCCCGCGUUGGAUUAGCUAGUUGGUAGGGUAAAAGCCUACCAAGGCGACGAUCCAUAGCUGGUCUGAGAGGAUGAUCAGCCACACUGGGACUGAGACACGGCCCAGACUCUUGUGGGAGGCAGCAGGGGUGAAUGUGAGAAAGGGGGCGAGAGACUAACCCACCAGUGCCGGGUGAGUGAGGAGGGCUUUGGGGUUGAAAAGCUUUUUCCCCCGGUAGGAAAAGAAAGUCCCGGGAAAAAAAGCCCCCGGAUACCUCCGGG